RNAcentral lists this ribosomal RNA (3390 nucleotides) under Triticum aestivum (bread wheat). RNAcentral's name for it is "partial small subunit ribosomal RNA". The stretch from base 3061 to 3199 matches the Rfam family "Small nucleolar RNA Z247". Lineage: Eukaryota; Viridiplantae; Streptophyta; Magnoliopsida; Poales; Poaceae. The record is from RNAcentral.
AUGCCGAAGGCCGCACGUGUAGGACAGACGCCUCUCCACCGCGGCCUCCCGGAUGAGAUUGUCGUCUGGGGUAUCCUCGUCCGCCUCCCCCCAGAAUCCCUCCUCCGCUGCCGCGCUGUCUGCCACGCCUGGCACGUAGCCACCACCACCGGCGACUUUCUCCUCGCCCACCACGUCCACCAGCCCACCGUCCCCCUCCUCCAUAGUCACGACCAUCGUAAUGGCAUCACCAGCUUGUCCCUAGACAUCGUUCCCUUGGAUGACCGGGCAGGGGUCGCCGACACUGGCACCGACCAGUUGAAGUCUGUCGCACGACUCGUAGACCACCGUUUCUUCCGUCCGGUGGCCUCCUGCGACGGCCUCCUGGUCCUCUCCGUCCAUACCAAGCACUUCGUCAUCUGCAACCUGGCAACUCACCAGCAUGCUCCACUCCCGCAGCUUAGUGGCUUCGUUCUACUGGGGAUGUACCUGCACAACCCUACAGGCGAGUACCAACUGUUGUACCUUGAACAGGAGCUGGCAUAUGAUGAUGAUGAUGCACUUGAUGGCCAACUGGGACCUCCUGGAUUUCAACAUGUCUACCACGUCUUGGCACUGGGCUCCUCUGAGCCCCCGAGGGAAAUCCACUACGAGUGGCAGAAAGACCUGAUAUACAUGAUUGUACCCGUACCUGUCCUGUUUGGUGGUAGCCUGCAUUGGCCCCUAGAGCAUCGCGAGGAUGGGAGAACCAUGAUAAUGGUGUUCGAUACCACGACCGAGUCGUUCUGGAAGAUGCAGUCUCCGGUUCUUGAUGGCCUGUUUGAGAUGCAUGGCAUGCUUGCCAUGUAUAUCGUUGAUGAUGAAGUCACGCAUGUCGCUGUUUGGGUGUUGAAGGACUACGAGAACGAGGAAUGGACCAUCAAGUGCCGGAUUGAAUUGCCGGUUGAAGGGAUCAUGAUGCAGUGUGGAAUGCACCACAGCAGUUGGUAUGUGGGGGCUGUGUCUUGGGAUGAUGAUGUGCUAGUCCUGGUCCAGUUUGGCGAGUGGCUACUUCAGAUCGACGUCGAUGGCAAGUUGGUCCGCAGUUUCUACCGUGAAAGCCUCCGUUUUACUCAUCAUCAGCUCAAACAAAGUCUUGUUCCACAUACCUUCUUUCCAAGCCUCCAGGAUUAUGUUGUCAAUGAUUUGCCAUUCUGCCACGCCGUCUGCCGGAUGGUCGUCGCGCCAUCUGGAAGAUCAUAUGGGGGUGCCCUGCUCCCCCGAAGGUGCCCACUUGCCAUGGAUCUUUGGCGAGCCAUGGAGAAGGACUGGCCGAUUCCAAAGGUGGAGACCAUCAAGAAUGAUGGCCCAGAGUGGUUAUUCACACUACUGAGCCCUCUGUCGGAUACGGCACGCAUGGUCGUCCUCAUGAUAAGUGGCGAGCAUGAUUUAGAGAAAGGGAAAAUGGUGGUGCAAGAGGGAGGCCGGGCUGACUAUGCCAGCGAGAGGAAGGCACAACCGCCCCAUUGGAAAAGGAAGAGGCGCAUGGCCGCGCAACUACCAGGUCACCUGGCUGGGAGGUAUGCGUACGGGAGAAGGAGGCGAAGAGAUAAGAAUCAGAGAAAUUUAUCGGGAGAUCACCAAUACCGAUCUCUGGGUGCUGCGAUGGAAUCCCGGCGGGCGACCAUGGCGAAGGCCUCGAGGACAGGAGCAACGCCUCUCCACCGCGGCCUCUCGAAGGAGAUCAUGUUCUUUGAGAUCCUUGUUCGCCUCCCCCCGAAAUCCCUCCUCCGCUGUCGCGCCGUUUGUCGUUCCUGGCGCCGUACCACCUCGAAGCGCCGCUUCCUGCUGGCCCACCAUGCCCGCCAGCCCGCCCUACCAAUCAUCUGCAGCGUCCAACACGGCGACGGCCGCUACCUAAGCAUCCAGGCCUUCGACCACCAGGCCGCCGACGCCCAGAUCCAACCCGUCGCUCGGCUUAACGGUACCUUCAGCCUGGAGGCAUCCUGCGACGGUCUCCUCAUCCUCUCUAUGGGGGCCAUGUGCAACCACGUUUCUGUGUGUAACCCCGUCACGCGUCAGCAUGCUCCCCUCCGGCAGCUGGAGGGUUUUACUGUUAUGAAGUUGUACCCACACCGCCCUACAGACAGAAGGGUGCUCCGGUUGUUCACGCCAACUCACAUAGAGGUAGAUGACACGCUUGGCAUCUAUAGCUAUGAUGAUGAUACGGAGAUUGUAGAGAUACUGGUGUUGCAGAACUAUGAAAACGAGGUUUGGAAUUACAAGUGCCAGGUCAAAUUGCCGUCCGCAGAAAUUAUGGGGCAGAUAGGAAGCUCGACCUGCUUUUCGGAUGUGAGCGUUGUGUCGCGGGAUGGCGACUUCCUCUUGCAGGGACUCUACAAUUCGUUGCUGAAAUCCUUGGAGGCUGCGACGGAAACCCUACUGACGACCAUGGCGAAGACUGCAACAAUGGCAGCACCCCUUUGUGGCCUCCCGGAGGAGAUCGUCGUCUGGGAGAUACUCGUCCGCCUAGCCCCCAAUGACCUCAUCCGCUGCCGCGUCGUCUGCCAUGCCUGGUGCCGCGUGACCUCCGCCCGCAACUUCCUCCUGGCCCAUCACAGUCGCCAGCCCUCCCUCUACCUCCUUUACGGUUUCGACUACGCCACCGUUCACCCCCAAAACAUCCUUGCCUUCGACCGCCAAGCCGCCACCGCUGCCCAGCUCCAUACGGCUGCCCGGCUUAAAGAAGACUACUAUAUCGCGGCCUCCUGCGACGGUAUGCUCAUCCUCUCCGGGUAUGGCAUGACAGGCACCAUCUGUUGUAACCCAGUCACACGUCAACAUACACCACUCAAGAUAGCGCCAGACUUGAAAAUCCUGGGGAUGUACCCACAUCGGCCUACCGGGACUGAACAGCCACCAAGGUACAUCGGAUGGAGAGAAACAUCAUCGACGUUCUUGAACACACCCGCCCUGGUGCGUGAUAGUCUGCAUUGGUCCUAUAUCUUUGAGAUGGAUGACACACUCGGCAUCUAUUCUCAUAAGAGUGAUACAGAAACUGUGGACAUAUGGGUGUUGCGAAACUACGAAGCUGCAGGGAGGGGCAUCGGAGAAGAAGAACUGCUCUUCUUCAUCAUCGCAGGUCUAGAUAUGGACUAUCAGCCCAUCAUAUCGGCCCUUGACGUCCGCACCAACCCGGUCUCUGUCGACGAGCUGUUUGCCAUGAUGGCAAACUUCGACCAAUGGGUCGAGCUCUUCCACGGCUCUGGAGCAGGAGGCUUCAAAUCCUCGGCCAACCUGGCUGCGAGGAAUCAUGGUGGCGGUGGCAAGGGCAAUAACCGUGGAUCGUCCAAACCCACCAAUGGUGGUGGCGGGUAUCGCGGUGGUGGCAGCAACAGCAAUGGCGGUGGCGGCAAUGCCAACAACAACUAA